Ovis aries (sheep) is the source of this 69-nucleotide transfer RNA. It matches the Rfam family "tRNA". Rfam says of the family: Transfer RNA (tRNA) molecules are approximately 80 nucleotides in length. Their secondary structure includes four short double-helical elements and three loops (D, anti-codon, and T loops). Further hydrogen bonds mediate the characteristic L-shaped molecular structure. tRNAs have two regions of fundamental functional importance: the anti-codon, which is responsible for specific mRNA codon recognition, and the 3' end, to which the tRNAs corresponding amino acid is attached (by aminoacyl-tRNA synthetases). tRNAs cope with the degeneracy of the genetic code in two manners: having more than one tRNA (with a specific anti-codon) for a particular amino acid; and 'wobble' base-pairing, i.e. permitting non-standard base-pairing at the 3rd anti-codon position. Lineage: Eukaryota; Metazoa; Chordata; Mammalia; Artiodactyla; Bovidae. The record is from Rfam.
CCUGGUGGCUCAGAGGUUAAAGCAUCUGCCUGCAAUGCUGGAGACCUGGGUUCGAUCCCUGGGUCAGGA